GACGGAGGGGGCUAGCGUUGUUCGGAAUGACUGGGCGUAAAGGGCGCGUAGGCGGUCUGUCAAGUCAGGCGUGAAAUCCUUGGGCUUAACCUGAGAAUUGCGUUUGAUACUGAUAGACUAGAGGACGAGAGAGGAAAGUGGAAUUCCGAGUGUAGAGGUGAAAUUCGUAGAUAUUCGGAGGAACACCAGAGGCGAAGGCGGCUUUCUGGCUCGUACCUGACGCUGAGGCGCGAAAGCGUGGGGAGCAAACAGGAUUAGAUACCCUGGUAGUCCACGCGGUAAACGAUGAGUGCUAGAUGUUGGGUGUAAAAGCUCAGUGUCGCAGCUAACGCAUUAAGCACUCCGCCUGGGGAGUACGGUCGCAAGAUUA
This 370-nucleotide ribosomal RNA is filed under the name uncultured bacterium. RNAcentral's name for it is "bacterial SSU rRNA". It matches the Rfam family "Bacterial small subunit ribosomal RNA", at positions 524 to 896 of the family's 1533-position model. The record is from RNAcentral.